This 146-nucleotide ribosomal RNA is filed under the name Brucellaceae bacterium enrichment culture. Its description in RNAcentral is "partial 16S ribosomal RNA". It matches the Rfam family "Bacterial small subunit ribosomal RNA", at positions 33 to 190 of the family's 1533-position model. Lineage: Bacteria; Pseudomonadati; Pseudomonadota; Alphaproteobacteria; Hyphomicrobiales; Brucellaceae. The record is from RNAcentral.
ACGCUGGCGGCAGGCUUAACACAUGCAAGUCGAGCGCCCUUUUCGGAGGGAGCGGCAGACGGGUGAGUAACGCGUGGGAAUCUACCUAUCUCUAGGGAAUAACUCAGGGAAACUUGUGCUAAUACCCUAUACGUCCUUCGGGAGAA